Molecule: non-coding RNA, 23 nt
Filed under: Arabidopsis thaliana (thale cress)
Lineage: Eukaryota; Viridiplantae; Streptophyta; Magnoliopsida; Brassicales; Brassicaceae
Source: RNAcentral
AACAACGAUGCCAUGAAAUAUUC